AUAACAGUCAGAAAUGGCUGCUAAUACCGCAUAAGCGCACAGAGCUGCAUGGCUCAGUGUGAAAAACUCCGGUGGUAUAAGAUGGACCCGCGUUGGAUUAGCUUGUUGGUGGGGUAACGGCCCACCAAGGCGACGAUCCAUAGCCGGCCUGAGAGGGUGAACGGCCACAUUGGGACUGAGACACGGCCCAGACUCCUACGGGAGGCAGCAUG
RNAcentral lists this ribosomal RNA (212 nucleotides) under uncultured bacterium. RNAcentral describes it as "partial 16S ribosomal RNA". It matches the Rfam family "Bacterial small subunit ribosomal RNA", at positions 143 to 353 of the family's 1533-position model. The record is from RNAcentral.